This 318-nucleotide ribosomal RNA is filed under the name uncultured eukaryote. RNAcentral's name for it is "partial 18S ribosomal RNA". It matches the Rfam family "Eukaryotic small subunit ribosomal RNA", at positions 1470 to 1796 of the family's 1831-position model. The record is from RNAcentral.
CCCUUAGAUGUCCUGGGCCGCACGCGUGCUACACUGAUGCAUACAGCGAGUACUUUCCAGCUCCGCGAGGCAGCUGGUAAUCAGCAAUAUGCAUCGUGCUGGGGAUAGAUCUUUGGAAUUAUAGAUCUUGAACGAGGAAUUCCUAGUAAGCGCAAGUCAUUAGCUUGCGCUGAUUAAGUCCCUGCCCUUUGUACGCACCGCCCGUCGCUCCUACCGAUUUCGAGUGAUUCGGUGAACCUUUUGGACAGCGUCUGUCCUCGUGUCAGAUGCUGAAAGUCAAGUAAACCAUAUCACUUAGAGGAAGGAGAAGUCGUAACA